RNAcentral lists this ribosomal RNA (590 nucleotides) under uncultured bacterium. RNAcentral describes it as "partial 16S ribosomal RNA". It matches the Rfam family "Bacterial small subunit ribosomal RNA", at positions 355 to 1375 of the family's 1533-position model. The record is from RNAcentral.
UGGGGAAUUUUGGACAAUGGGCGAAAGCCUGAUCCAGCAAUGCCGCGUGUGUGAAGAAGGCCUUCGGGUUGUAAAGCACUUUUGUCCGGAAAGAAAUCCUUGGCUCUAAUACAGUCGGGGGAUGACGGUACCGGAAGAAUAAGCACCGGCUAACUACGUGCCAGCAGCCGCGGUAAUACGUAGGGUGCAAGCGUUAAUCGGAAUUACUGGGCGUAAAGCGUGCGCAGGCGGUUUGCUAAGACCGAUGUGAAAUCCCCGGGCUCAAACCUGGGAACUGCAUUGGUGACUGGCAGGCUAGAGUAUGGCAGAGGGGGGUAGAAUUCCACGUGUAGCAGUGAAAUGCGUAGAGAUGUGGAGGAAUACCGAUGGCGAAGGCAGCCCCCCUGGGCCAAAUACUGACGCUCAUGCACGAAAAGCGUGGGGAGCAAAACAGGAUUAGAUACCCUGGUAGUCCACGCCCUAAAACGAUGUCAACUAGUUGUUGGGGAUUCAUUUCCUUAGUAACGUAGCUAACGCGUGAAGUUGACCGCCUGGGGAGUACGUCGCAAGAUUAAAACUCAAAGGAAUUGACGGGGUCAUAGCUGUUUCCU